RNAcentral lists this unclassified non-coding RNA (284 nucleotides) under Hevea brasiliensis (rubber tree). The record is from RNAcentral. Lineage: Eukaryota; Viridiplantae; Streptophyta; Magnoliopsida; Malpighiales; Euphorbiaceae.
CGAGAUUUCUAGGGUUUCGACCGUUGAGAGUUAUGGGUCUCUGGACCCUGCUUGAGGGCUUCCUCCUCCUUGCAAAUGCAUUGGCGAUCCUCAACGAAGACCGCUUUCUCGCUCCCCGAGGAUGGAGCUUCGCCGAAGUCUCGGGUGGCCGCCAAGUGAAGUCACUUAAGGGGCAGCUUAUAGGGCUCAUCUACGCGACACAAUACCUGAGGGUCCCUCUUAUAAUCCUCAAUGUCAUCACAAUCCUUGUGAAGCUUGUUUCAGGAUGAGGUUUUACUUCUGAG